RNAcentral lists this transfer RNA (71 nucleotides) under Candidatus Ryanbacteria bacterium RIFCSPHIGHO2_01_45_13. Its description in RNAcentral is "tRNA-Pro". It matches the Rfam family "tRNA". Rfam says of the family: Transfer RNA (tRNA) molecules are approximately 80 nucleotides in length. Lineage: Bacteria; Candidatus Ryaniibacteriota. RNAcentral also lists the same sequence under 6 other names. The record is from RNAcentral.
CGGAGUGUCGUAUAGUGGUAGUACGCAGGCUUCGGGAGUCUGUAGCGGGAGUUCGAUUCUCCCCACUCCGA